This 375-nucleotide ribosomal RNA is filed under the name uncultured organism. RNAcentral describes it as "partial 16S ribosomal RNA". It matches the Rfam family "Bacterial small subunit ribosomal RNA", at positions 527 to 896 of the family's 1533-position model. The record is from RNAcentral.
GUAGGUGGCAAGCGUUGUCCGGAAUUAUUGGGCGUAAAGCGCGCGCAGGCGGUUCUUUAAGUCUGAUGUGAAAGCCCACGGCUCAACCGUGGAGGGUCAUUGGAAACUGGAGAACUUGAGUACAGAAGAGGAAAGCGGAAUUCCACGUGUAGCGGUGAAAUGCGUAGAGAUGUGGAGGAACACCAGUGGCGAAGGCGGCUUUCUGGUCUGUAACUGACGCUGAGGCGCGAAAGCGUGGGGGGGGCAAACAGGAUUAGAUACCCUGGUAGUCCACGCCGUAAACGAUGAGUGCUAAGUGUUAGGGGGGUUUCCGCCCCCCUUAGUGCUGCAGCUAACGCAUUAAGCACUCCGCCUGGGAGUACGGCCGCAAGGCUG